RNAcentral lists this ribosomal RNA (497 nucleotides) under uncultured bacterium. RNAcentral's name for it is "partial 16S ribosomal RNA". It matches the Rfam family "Bacterial small subunit ribosomal RNA", at positions 28 to 507 of the family's 1533-position model. The record is from RNAcentral.
GAUGAACGCUGGCGGCAUGCCUAAUACAUGCAAGUCGAGCGAACAGACGAGGAGCUUGCUCCUCUGACGUUAGCGGCGGACGGGUGAGUAACACGUGGAUAACCUACCUAUAAGACUGGGAUAACUUCGGGAAACCGGAGCUAAUACCGGAUAAUAUAUUGAACCGCAUGGUUCAAUAGUGAAAGACGGUUUUGCUGUCACUUAUAGAUGGAUCCGCGCCGCAUUAGCUAGUCGGUAAGGUAACGGCUUACCAAGGCAACGAUGCGUAGCCGACCUGAGAGGGUGAUCGGCCACACUGGAACUGAGACACGGUCCAGACUCCUACGGGAGGCAGCAGUAGGGAAUCUUCCGCAAUGGGCGAAAGCUUGACGGAGCAACGCCGCGUGAGUGAUGAAGGUCUUCGGAUCGUAAAACUCUGUUAUUAGGGAAGAACAAAUGUGUAAGUAACUAUGCACGUCUUGACGGUACCUAAUCAGAAAGCCACGGCUAACUACGUG